Molecule: ribosomal RNA, 1506 nt
Filed under: Salmonella enterica
Lineage: Bacteria; Pseudomonadati; Pseudomonadota; Gammaproteobacteria; Enterobacterales; Enterobacteriaceae
Description: partial 23S ribosomal RNA
Rfam family: Bacterial large subunit ribosomal RNA
Source: RNAcentral
CUUGGUGUUACUGCGAAGGGGGGACGGAGAAGGCUAUGUUGGCCGGGCGACGGUUGUCCCGGUUUAAGCGUGUAGGUGUGUGUUCCAGGUAAAUCCGGUUCACUUUAACACUGAGGCGUGACGACGAGGCACUACGGUGCUGAAGCAACAAAUGCCCUGCUUCCAGGAAAAGCCUCUAAGCAUCAGGUAACAUCAAAUCGUACCCCAAACCGACACAGGUGGUCAGGUAGAGAAUACCAAGGCGCUUGAGAGAACUCGGGUGAAGGAACUAGGCAAAAUGGUGCCGUAACUUCGGGAGAAGGCACGCUGACACGUAGGUGAAGUGAUUUACUCAUGGAGCUGAAGUCAGUCGAAGAUACCAGCUGGCUGCAACUGUUUAUUAAAAACACAGCACUGUGCAAACACGAAAGUGGACGUAUACGGUGUGACGCCUGCCCGGUGCCGGAAGGUUAAUUGAUGGGGUCAGCGCAAGCGAAGCUCCUGAUCGAAGCCCCGGUAAACGGCGGCCGUAACUAUAACGGUCCUAAGGUAGCGAAAUUCCUUGUCGGGUAAGUUCCGACCUGCACGAAUGGCGUAAUGAUGGCCAGGCUGUCUCCACCCGAGACUCAGUGAAAUUGAACUCGCUGUGAAGAUGCAGUGUACCCGCGGCAAGACGGAAAGACCCCGUGAACCUUUACUAUAGCUUGACACUGAACAUUGAGCCUUGAUGUGUAGGAUAGGUGGGAGGCUUUGAAGUGUGGACGCCAGUCUGCAUGGAGCCGACCUUGAAAUACCACCCUUUAAUGUUUGAUGUUCUAACGUGGACCCGUAAUCCGGGUUGCGGACAGUGUCUGGUGGGUAGUUUGACUGGGGCGGUCUCCUCCUAAAGAGUAACGGAGGAGCACGAAGGUUGGCUAAUCCUGGUCGGACAUCAGGAGGUUAGUGCAAUGGCAUAAGCCAGCUUGACUGCGAGCGUGACGGCGCGAGCAGGUGCGAAAGCAGGUCAUAGUGAUCCGGUGGUUCUGAAUGGAAGGGCCAUCGCUCAACGGAUAAAAGGUACUCCGGGGAUAACAGGCUGAUACCGCCCAAGAGUUCAUAUCGACGGCGGUGUUUGGCACCUCGAUGUCGGCUCAUCACAUCCUGGGGCUGAAGUAGGUCCCAAGGGUAUGGCUGUUCGCCAUUUAAAGUGGUACGCGAGCUGGGUUUAGAACGUCGUGAGACAGUUCGGUCCCUAUCUGCCGUGGGCGCUGGAGAACUGAGGGGGGCUGCUCCUAGUACGAGAGGACCGGAGUGGACGCAUCACUGGUGUUCGGGUUGUCAUGCCAAUGGCACUGCCCGGUAGCUAAAUGCGGAAGAGAUAAGUGCUGAAAGCAUCUAAGCACGAAACUUGCCCCGAGAUGAGUUCUCCCUGAGACUUAGAGUCUCCUGAAGGAACGUUGAAGACGACGACGUUGAUAGGCCGGGUGUGUAAGCGCAGCGAUGCGUUGAGCUAACCGGUACUAAUGAACCGUGAGGCUUAACCUUACA